ACGGGUGAGUAAUAUAUCGGAACGUGCCCAGUCGUGGGGGAUAACUGCUCGAAAGAGCAGCUAAUACCGCAUACGACCUGAGGGUGAAAGCGGGGGAUCGCAAGACCUCGCGCGAUUGGAGCGGCCGAUAUCAGAUUAGGUAGUUGGUGGGGUAAAGGCCCACCAAGCCAACGAUCUGUAGCUGGUCUGAGAGGACGACCAGCCACACUGGGACUGAGACACGGCCCAGACUCCUACGGGAGGCAGCAGUGGGGAAUUUUGGACAAUGGGCGCAAGCCUGAUCCAGCCAUGCCGCGUGCGGGAAGAAGGCCUUCGGGUUGUAAACCGCUUUUGUCAGGGAAGAAACGGCUUUCUCUAAUACAGAGAGCUAAUGACGGUACCUGAAGAAUAAGCACCGGCUAACUACGUGCCAGCAGCCGCGGUAAUACGUAGGGUGCAAGCGUUAAUCGGAAUUACUGGGCGUAAAGCGUGCGCAGGCGGUUAUGCAAGACAGAGGUGAAAUCCCCGGGCUCGACCUGGGAAUUGCCUUUGUGACUGCAUAGCUAGAGUGCGGCAGAGGGGGAUGGAAUUCCGCGUGUAGCAGUGAAAUGCG
Molecule: ribosomal RNA, 592 nt
Filed under: uncultured bacterium
Lineage: Bacteria
Description: bacterial SSU rRNA
Rfam family: Bacterial small subunit ribosomal RNA
Source: RNAcentral